GAUGAAGGCCUCUGCAAGGGACAUCCAGCGCCCUCCUUCCCCAGCGAUCUCCUCAACAGGACAGUGCGCCGCAGCAUUGCCUGGGCGUCGUCUCCUCUGACCAGCUCGCCGUACAAUCCUUGGAGCCGCCAAUUAUAGUUCGUCAGUGAGCUGCAGAGAUCAGCGACACGUUCAAGGGUUCUGGAGCCGGUGUACCACAAGCAGUCAAGACAACGGAGAUGGCAACAUGCUGAUCAAUCGGCAAUCGUCCAAUCUGCAAUUCAACAACACUUUGGAGCCCAGCAUCCAGGUGGACCUCGUGUUCCGUUGAUUGGUAUAGCUCUACCAGGAUUUGUGCCUCAGCAACAACUUGUCCCCAACAAUUCUGAUAUGGCUUGGCAUUAAGGGAAGAGGAAUUGGAGCUGUACGAGGACAUGCCGUGGUGGUGCUAUCUCGGAAUCGGCGACAAUUAUCUCAGGUGAUUCCUCAGGUUCCCCUUCGUUCGAGCUGUGGCUUCCUAUUUCGGCAAAUGAGUCCAUGCCCUGUUUCUGGCAACAUGGCUUAGUCGUCCAUUUGUUUAGGAACAAGAGGUUUUUUUUCUGGUACUGGAAUGUUCUUUGGUGAUUUAGGUUAGACACCUGGUCUCCAUGAGUUACAUGUUUUCUUCUUUGCAUUUUCUAUAAUUUUCCUUCGCUUUUUAAAUCAUACAUCCUACAUGAUGUUUAGUUCAGGAUUAUGCUUCUGUUCAUUGCAUUCGUGGCUCAUUAUUGGCUAUUGGAGAACUGUUGAGGAAACUUAAAGUUCAGUUUGCUGUGAUAUUCCGUACAAGUUUUUUCACAAUAUGCAUAUACUGAUGCAAGCACGUUUUUUGUUCUCUUGGUGACACUGGAGUACUACCCUCUACUUGGAGCUUGCCUACCUCUUCUACAACUACCGCAGGAUAACAUCAACUCAGCUCAGCCGAAGUCCCUCGCCGACUGGCUACGGAGGCCUCUGACUACAUUGGUCCCAGGCUUAUUAGGGUAGGUUGACAUGGCUCGGCCUCCCGAGUAGCUCCACCCGAUUCACUGAAGUCCCUCCCGGGCCGACUACGUGUGCCUCUAGCUGCUUUGGUCCUCGGUGGUGCUUAUGCUGCUGUUGUGCAAGGGUCUAUGUAAUGUUGUUUCGGUUGCAAUAUUCAAUAGUCUACAUCAUUUAUAGGUGGAGCCGAAUACACUGAAGAAUGUGGAGCACCCCACAGGAAGCUUGAAAGGCUGCUGUAGACGGAAGAAAUAAUUUUGAGCCUGACUGGCUUUGUCAGUGUGUCGACGGAAAGGCCUAGAAGGUGCAAUUUUCAAGCCGCUCAUCAUGAGAUGCCUCCAGGGGCUUCCCAUGAGGCAUGCGUGGUGGAAUGCAUGGCUUCGCUGGAGGACUGGGAAGUGGUAUGCCUCGCAGAAUGGGCGGUGGUAUCCCUGGAGUUGGAGUUGUAACCUAGUGAAGAAACCUGAUGGCAAAGAUUUGGUGACCAUGUGGUCAUGGCGGACAACACUCGCAUUGGGGGUUAAGUGGCGUUGGAUCUGGCCCGAAGGUCACCAUAGCCGUCGGAUCUGGCUGUCUGGCUCUGGUGGUGGUGGUGGUGGUGCUGGGCUGCUUCCCUCGCCUCACACGAGGUGGUAGGCCUGGCCGCCCCACGACUUCAACUACCUCGACUAUCACUUGGGCUCCUGCUGGUGCAUAAUCGCCGCACAUGUGGCAAUGGUGGGCCUUGUUACAUCGCUCGGUGUGUUCGGAUCACCUCAAGAUCAGAGCUGCGCCACCUUUGCGGCAUUCUCUUGCACAAUGGAGGGGCUAAACAAGCAAUAGACAGUGAUGACACCUAGCAGGAGUGUGUUGGCCUUUGAGGCAGUUGUGAGAUGUCGAGGAGGAGUAGCAUUGCUGUCCAAAAAUUUGAGACAAGGUUGAGGUCUGCAAAGGACUAAGGCGCCGCUGAUGUUGAGGUCUCCGAGCCCCCAAGAACCAAGACGAGCCAGGAGAUAAGGUGGAGCCGAAUGCACUGAAGAAUGUGGAGCACCGCAGGAAGCUUGACAGGCUGCUGUAGACGGAAGAAAUAAGUUUGAGUGUGACUAGCUUUGUUGGUGUGCCGACGGAAAAGCGAUUUUGUAAUUUAAUUAUGAGAAGGCCUAGAAGGUGCAAUUUUCAAGCCGCUCAUCAGGAGAUGCCUCCAGGGGCUUCCCAUGAGGCAUGCGUGGUGGAAGGCAUGGCUUUGCUGGAGGACUGGGAGAUGGUAUGCCUCGCAGAAUGGGCGGUGAUAUGCCUGGAGCUGGAGUUGCUCCCGGUACUAUCGGUAUGGAUGUCAUCCUAUAUUGGUUAAGUGGCGUUGGAUCUGACCCGGAGGUCACAAUAGCCUCCGGAUUUGGCUGUCUGGCUCUGGUGGUGGUGGUGGUGCUGGGCUGCUUCCCUCGCCUCACACAAAGGUGGUAGGCCUGGCCGCCCCAUGACUUCGACUACCUCGACUAUCUCUUGGGCUCAUGCUGGUGCAUAAUGGCCGCAACCGUGGCAAUGGUGGGCCUUGUUACAUGGCUCGGUGUUAUAGGUGAGUCCUCAAGUUCCCAUUUUUCUCAUCUAUGUGCUCUGUGAUGACGCUGGGAAGUUUCAUUACAGCUGUCACUACACUUUGUUCUGGCCGUUGGGCAGAUGACCUACUGGUUAGGUUUAGUGGUACUAGUUACAAAGAUUUGGUUAUGGUACCAAAAGUGACAUUUUAGCACUUUUUUGUGAUGGUAAUAAUUAGGGUAUGCUUGCUCUCGAGUGUGUUCUCGCUUGUAUCCUGAAUUCCUAAUUGUAGUGCACAUACUAUAUUUGUGGUCAUCCAAAAAAAUUUGUUGGUUCUAUUUA
Molecule: long non-coding RNA, 2853 nt
Organism: Lolium rigidum
Lineage: Eukaryota; Viridiplantae; Streptophyta; Magnoliopsida; Poales; Poaceae
Exons: 14
Source: RefSeq, a predicted model, not a curated record